This 473-nucleotide ribosomal RNA is filed under the name uncultured Allobrachymonas sp. Its description in RNAcentral is "bacterial SSU rRNA". It matches the Rfam family "Bacterial small subunit ribosomal RNA", at positions 902 to 1382 of the family's 1533-position model. Lineage: Bacteria; Pseudomonadati; Pseudomonadota; Betaproteobacteria; Burkholderiales; Comamonadaceae. The record is from RNAcentral.
CAAAGGAAUUGACGGGACCGCACAAGCGGUGGAUGAUGUGGUUAAUUCGAUGCAACGCGAAAACCUUACCCACCUUUGACAUGGCAGGAAUCCCGAAGAGAUUUGGGAGUGCUCGAAAGAGAACCUGCACACAGGUGCUGCAUGGCUGUCGUCAGCUCGUGUCGUGAGAUGUUGGGUUAAGUCCCGCAACGAGCGCAACCCUUGCCAUUAGUUGCUACGAAAGGGCACUCUAAUGGGACUGCCGGUGACAAACCGGAGGAAGGUGGGGAUGACGUCAAGUCCUCAUGGCCCUUAUAGGUGGGGCUACACACGUCAUACAAUGGCCGGUACAGAGGGUAGCCAACCCGCGAGGGGGAGCCAAUCCCACAAAGCCGGUCGUAGUCCGGAUCGCAGUCUGCAACUCGACUGCGUGAAGUCGGAAUCGCUAGUAAUCGCGGAUCAGCAUGCCGCGGUCGAAUACGUUCCCGGGCCUU